Molecule: long non-coding RNA, 8520 nt
Filed under: Homo sapiens (human)
Lineage: Eukaryota; Metazoa; Chordata; Mammalia; Primates; Hominidae
Description: non-protein coding lnc-PTMA-5:1
Source: RNAcentral
AGAGGGCCCAGCUGCGCCAUUAGCGCGUGCGAGGGAAAAUGGAGGCUCCUGGUCCCACCCGCGCACCGGCGCCUGCGCCCUGGGCGCCCACCCCGGCCCGCGAGGCGGCCACGGCCGGAGAGAGAGGGCAAGGGAACCAGUGCCGUGUCGCGCCCCACCCUGCGCCCGAGCGCAGUGCCGGCGAGCCCGGCUCCGGCCCUUGAGAGUCCGCUCCAGGCCGCUCCACACCACGAGCCGCUCCGCAAGUUUGCAGCGCUCCGUGCUUUCCCUCCAGCCCUUUGUGUUCUAGCGCGCGUCGGAAGGAACGCGGGAACGCGCGCCGUGCUGUGCGCCUGCGCAAGGGUUCAGGCGGUGCGCCAAGCCUGGAGUCAAGAGUGGGCGAGGCUCUCGGCCGCUCCGCCCCGGGCCGCCUUCGCUCCGCCCCUCGCCCGCCAUUUCGUGCUCCGCCGCGUCUCCCGCGUCUGGGGCGCGGCUUCCGCGUGAUGGACGCCCGGAAGCCGGCACAACAAAUGCCCAAGCGCCAGGGCUUCGCUGUCUGCAGGUCCUUCCGCUGCCCGCGGAGCGAAGAUGGCGCCUAGAGCUUGCAGCGUUGCCCAAAUAUGGGGGGAAUUAGGCGCCUCUACCUCCUCAAGAAGGGUCUGCCGGCUGACCUCGGGGGUGUGCACGUCCUUCUGUGUGCAGAACCCUGGGGCGUGCGCCUUUCUGUAUGUGCACAACCUCGGAAGUGUGCGCAUACCCUUGCUUACACUCCCUAGCACGCACACCAAAACUCUGGCAUGCACGAACCCGCGGGUUUCCAUGUUUUCGUAUGUGCACGACCUCGAGGAUGUACUUGGACCCGAGAAUGUCCGCAUUUGUGUUUGCACAGGUCCGGGUGUGCACGGACACGUGCAUUCAGGAAUGUAGUGGUUCACAGAAGCCGCUGUUUGCGCGGCCCGGGGAUGUACGUGGACCCUCGAGUGCUAGCCCCGCCUCCGCUGUCUGUGGCCCGCGAACACGAUCUUGUUUCCGGCCUGUUUUGGAUUCAUUUGCACUUGCCCAGUUUACAUGCAAAGCAUAAUCUGCCGACCACCCCAAGCAAUUUUUAAUCUUUCCUUCGUUCUUUCUUCACUGAUUUUUUGGCUCCUGCCCUGGACCCAACUUUGCACUUGGGCGCACACGGUGAUAGUGACGCAGAGCAUGAAGCCAGUGGGAGAAACGCCUAGAAAUAGGCAGUUAGGACAACCUGAGACCACUGUGAAGGAGGCGCUUGGCUUGUCAAUGACAGGGGAAGCGGCCUGGAGGAAGCCGUGAGCCGAGACCAGGGCAUGGGGUAGAGGGAAUAGGGUAAUGGGCCCAGGACUGUUUGGGGAGGCAUUCAGUCUCAUUUGAGAGGAUGGUGGGUGGAAGCAGAGGAGGCAGGUCAUGGAGAGGAGUGUGUGGGGAAGGGACCUGUUGGUGAGGCUCGGGGGGCAGAAGACUUGGGCAGGCGUCUGAAGUGAGAGCUCGCAUGGACUGGCCUCCCUAGGGAGCAGUGGGGAGAAGCAGCUGGGGCCUGGGGGUAGAGCCCGUGUGCCCACUGUUGACACCUUCGCGGGCUACUGCUCCUCGUGGCUUCUGUAUGGAGCACAGGCCUCUUUCCGGGAGAGGGACUCGGACUGCAGGCUCCAGCCCUGCACUGCCAUGAAAGGCCUGGGCAGGUUGUCUGCAUAAGAACAGUACCUCUGGUGGUGGAAAUGGAGGGAGACGCCACGGCACAGAGGACCUGUCCCAGACACGCGGGAUGGCAAGCAUCAGAGCUGGAGUGACUGCCGAGGUCCCCUGGUGAGGCCCUCCUUGUCUCUCCCUCAGCAGCCUAGUCCCCUCUGAUUUUUUUUUUUUCUUUUUUGAGACGGAGUCUCUGUCGCCCAGGCUGGAGUGCAGUUGGCACCGUGUAGGCUCACUGCAACCUCUGUCUGCUGGGUUCAGGCACUCCUGACCUCAGGUGAUCCACCCGCCUCGGCCUUCCAGAGUGCUUGGGAUUACAGAUGUGAGCCACCGCGCCCGGCCCGUCCUCUGUUUAUGGUUACGGGUACUCUCCAGUCAUGCUCACGGAAAACCUCUCCCUGGAGGUGUCUGCGUUUGCCUUGAGAAUCCCUCUCCACGAGGUCCCCAAUGUGUCUGUCCCCAGCUCAUUGGAACAUGUCUCAGGGAGCAGGGGCCACUUCGCACACUUUGCAGGACAGCCUUUUUGCUGUAGGCCAGAUCUUUUUUCUUUUUCCUUUUUUUGGAGACAGAGUCUUGUUCUCUUGCCCAGGCUGGAGUGCAGGUAAUAUGAUCUCAGCUUACUGCAACCUCCACCACCUGGGUUCAAGCGAUUCUCAUGCCUCAGCCUCCUGAGCAACUGGGAUUAUAGGCAUGUAUCACCACACCUGGCUAAUUUUUGUAUUUUUAGUAGAAAUGGGGUUUCACUAUGUUGGCCAGGCUGGUCUCGAACUCCUGGCCUCAAGUGAACCACCCGCCUCAGCCUCCCAAAGUGCUGGGAUUACAGGCACUAGCCAAUGCACCCGUCCUAGGCCAGAUUUUUUUUUUUUUAAUCUGAAAUGAAGGUUUUUUUUCAGUCACCCAGAAGACACUUUUUUGUUUUGAGAGAGAGUCUUGCUUUAUUGCCCAGGCUGGAGUGCAGAGGUGCAAUUUCGGGAUUACAGGCACAUGCUACCACGCCUGCCUAGUUUUUUGUCUUUUUAGUAGAGACGGGGUUUUCUUGGCCAGGCUGGUCUCAAACUCCUGACCUCAGAUGAUAUUCCCGCUUCAGCCUCCCAAAGUGCUAGGAUUACAGGCGUGUUCCACCGCGCCCAGCCUAGACCAGAUCUGUUUUAUCUGAAACGGAAAUGAAGGCUUUUUUUCUGUCACCCAAAAGAUACUUUCUGAGCACAUGGUCUGUUAAGCCUCUGUCUGGACUAGAGAUAGAGCUGUGGAGCAGUUCCUGCCUCUAAGGAACAUACAGGCCCAAGUCCCAGGACAUGAGGGUCCAGAAGCAGACAAACAGCUUCUUUCCACUGAACCUGGACCUGCCUUCACCCUCCCCACCCAGCCCCGUGCAUCUUGAAUUAAAACAGAGAAGCUGGGGAUUGGAUGGCGGCAGGCCCUUCUCCCCACCAAGAGAGUGGCCCUGCCAGGCACUGCCUUCCUCUUUCCCAGGCCUGGGAAUUGCCCCCAGCCCCUGCUUCUGGGAGUAACGGGGAGUUGACUGCACUCUGGGACACCAGUUGGGACCCUCCUCAGAAGGGGAUGGGGACAGUCCUCAGUGCAGGGCAGUCUGCGGGGGAGGCCAUGGUGGGGCUAUCCCACUGACCUCCCUCAGCACCAUAUCUGGACAGCCGUGCCACCCUGGGAGGUGGGGUGAGGGGGCCAGUGUCUAGCCGUCUAGCUGUUGUUCCCGUGACACUCAGGCCUCAGGGCAGGUUGUGCCACUUUCAUCCACCAGCAGGGCCAAGGCCUGGAGCCCGCAGGGCACCAAUUCUGAGAUCUGCUCUAAACAAGGCCUGCAUCCUUCAAAGUUGGUGAGGUGGUCUCUUCUCCUGUAGGACAGGCAGGUUUCCUACUUUCCCCAAAGGCCCCAGGACUUGGGUGAUGUCCUUCUCCGUCAACGGUCCUCUCCUUCAGCACAAGGCUCCAGAGGCAGCUCCCCAUCCCACCCCACUCCUGAGCAGGCGGCCGGAGCUGCCCCCUCUGAAUGCCACGCUGGGCAAGGGGUCCGUGCCUGGGAAACACCUGGUGGGCAAUGCUCUGGCCUCAAGAAUAAACAACGGGGAUCUAGAUGAUGCCACCGUCCUCAGUCUCUGACCUCCAAAGGAGCCACAUUCAAGAGAAGGGAGGUCCCUCCACAAAUGAGACAGCAGAAGAAUAAAUGCUACCCUGUGCCUGCCGACUUCCUGCAGAGGUCUGUGGGCUCGUGUAAAUAAUUGAAUGGAAAACUUCAGAAGGAAGGCAGCCCACGGGAGCCUGGCCUUGCCCGCCAGAAAGCAGGUUAUAAAAUGUUUCCCAUGUAAGUGGUGGCUGGGGGUAGUCAGGAGGCCUAGUUACAACCCCGAGAAGUAAGGCUGCCCUGGGCUCCCAGGGGAAACACUGGGCUGGGUGGGUGGGCGCUCUUCAGGGAGUAGAUUCCUCCCGGCCACCCUCAGCUCCUAGUCUCUUGGGUGUGGUAGCUCCAAGAUCUCAAAGCCCAAUCGCCGAGCCCGGUGGUUUCCGAUGUGUCCUACCCUCCCUCCUGCUGCACAUGCAGCUUGCAUUGCUGGGGAGUAAGGGGAGAUGAUUUCCGGCCAGCACAGGCAAAGCCAGGCAGGGAGUCCCCUGAGGCGGCGCAGCAGGAGGACCACCAAGUGUGGCCCAUACGCCCGGCAUCCGGCCCUCUCCCUGCCUUGUCCUCAGCUGAGGCCUGAGGUGAAUUGUAGGCUGGGCCGAUUCCCCACCCCUGGCCUCAGGGCGGUUCCUCCUGGGUCCAACUGCCCCAGCCCAGGCCAUCUGGGAGGCAGGCUGGGCGGGGAGAGAGGGAGGGAGGACGUGUGUGAGCCACUGCCCAGCCCCCGAGGCACAAACAUUUCCUUAUGUGGUGGCUCUGAGUGCCCGGGCGACACCCUAGAGGCUGCUGGGGAGGGCCAGGGCCGGACACACCCUGGGUGAUCGCAGAAGCAGAGCCCCUGCCCAACAGGAUCUUGGCCUCAUCUUGUGGAGGAACGGACCCCCACCUGGCUCUUUGUCCCCUGGAGUGGCCCACAAUCCCCUAGGAGGAAGUGGUCACUGCUUCUGUACGGGAUGUUUCCCCAAAUUCCCCGUGUUUGCAAGAGAAACUGUGAGAUUAGAGGUACAGCAGAGACCCCAGCCCCGGGACAGGAAGGGGUGAAGGGUGGGCUGGCAGGCCCCUAGCCUCAGGGUGCGCCUCCCGCACCGCCCCCCACUCAGCACCAGGCACGGCGCUACUCCCUUUGUUUCCGGCAGGCUUUGGGAGCUAUAUUUGGCUGUGGGGGGAUAACAGGGUGACUCAUGGGAGGGACGGCCCGGGGUGGGAAGUGGAGGAGCUGUGUCUCUGGAAAUGCGGCUCCCUCUGUUCCCAAGCCUGCCGCAGGUGCUAGCCCUCCGUGAGCGCUGAAAGCAAAACAGCCAACAACGCCAGGGCUCCCACCUGUAAUCUCAGCACUUUGGGAGGCCGAGGGGGGCAGAUUGCUUGAGCCCAGGAGUUUGAGACCAACCUGGCCAGCACAGUGAGACCCCGUCUCUACAGAAAAAAAUUAGCCAGGUGUGACGGUGCACGCCUGUGGUCCCAGCUACUCUGGAUGCUGAGGCAGGAGAAUCACCUGAGCCUAGAAGUUCAAGGCUGGAGAGAGCCGAGAUCACGCCACUACACUCCAGCCUGGGCAACAAAAUAAGACCCUAUCUCAAAAAAAAAAGAAAGAAAGAGAAAAGAAAAAGAAACUGGGCAGACCCAGCAUAGCUGCCUCCCACAGCAACGCAAGGCUGCAUGGUCCCUGCACUUGCUCUCGGGGUGUAGGACAUUGACCUCAGGGGGCACCCCAGCUGUCCAGAGUCUGGUUAGCACACCCCAGGCCUGAUCCCCUGGGAUGUCUACUCAGACCCCCGAACUGCCCUAGCUUCUCAGGCCAGUGUCAUUUCUCCAAGGUGACAGCCUUUAAAGCAGAUUUGAAUGGCUGACAGGGCGUGUUCCCCAUGGGAUAUGUAUUUUAUUGUUGUUUUAUGGCUUUUUUUUUUUUUCUUGAGACAGAGUCUCACUCUGUCGCUCAGGCUGAAGUGCAAUGGAGCAAUCUCGGCUCACUGCAACCUCUGCCUCCUGGGUUCAAGCGAUUGUCCUGCCUCAGCUUCCCAAGUAGCUGGGAUUAUAAGCACCUGCCACCAUACCUGGAGAAUUUUUUUUGUUUUGUUUUGUUUUUUGAGACACACCUGGCUAAUUUUUGUUUUUGUUGUUGUUUGUUUUUUUUUUUUGAGACAGAGUUUCCCUCUUGUUGCCCAGGCUGGAGUGCAACGGUGCAAUCUCGGCUCACUGCAACCUCCGCUUCCCAGGUUCAAGCAAUUCUCCUGCCUCAGCCUCCCAAGUAGCUGGGAUUACAGGCACGUGCCACCACACCCAGCUAAUUUUGUAUUUUUAGUAGAGAUGGGGUUUCUCCAUGUUGGUCAGGCUGGUCUCGACCACCUGACUUCAGGUGAUCCGCCUGCCUCGGCCUCCCAAAGUGCUGAGAUUACAGGCAUGAUGAGCCACUGCGCCCGGCAUUUUUGUAUUUUUAGUAGAAAUGGGGUUUCACCAUGUUGGCUGGGCUGGUCUCGAACUCCUGACCUCAGGUGAUCUGCCUGCCUUGGCCUCCCAAAGUGUUGGGAUUACAGGCAUGAGCCACCGUGCCUGGCCAGGAUAUUUUUUAAAUGGGGCUCCAGUAAGAAAUGUGCUCAUUCCAGUGCAUCUUGAAUUGGUCUGAUUUCAGGGAGUAUAUAGGUUGAGGCUGACUCCGAAAGUUAACCCUGGUCUAGGAGGCCUUGGCAUGCCAGCACCGCCAGUACCACCCCCACCGGGCUGAGGGGAUGAGCCUGCUGGGCCUGGCUGCCAGCUGGCCCUGCGACUCCCAUCUUUUCUCCGACAGCCCCUUGAUGCUCGGCUCCCCGGGGUCUGUCCUUGGUCCCUCAGUCAAGGGACAUCCAUCUCUAAAUUGCCUUCCUCCCUUGGUCAAGGGACAUGCAUCUCUAAAGUGCCUUCCUCCCAGCGACUACCCUUACCACCUGACACUGGGAAAGUCACCUCCUGCCUCAGAGCUCCCAUUGGCCCCAGCCCAACUUGCCCCAUCCUGAUUCAGUGGGAAUGGGUAGGAUUCAAGCCCCCCAGUUCGAGACCCAGUCUUCUGUGGUACACUAGGAUCCCAGAGCUGAAGUAGAGAAUCUGGUUAAUACAUCAGUGUACAGACUCUUCAGUUUUAAGAUUCUCUUUCCAUACUGGGGGAGGUCUCAGGAAUCUGUAGAAGGUAGAUGGGGAAAUGGACACUCAGAAGCAUCAGACACUUCACAAUCCAGAUGCUGAUAAAAUGGCCAAACCUUGGUGUUCAAAGGGAUCUUAGUGGUCAUCUCAUUCAACCCAACUACCCAAAGCAGAAAUCUCUUCUACUGCUUCCUUGAUUGCUUCCAGCAGCGGGGAACUCACUGCCUUGGUAUGGUUUUGUUUUGCUUCUUGUUUUUGAGAUAGUCUCUCUUUGUCACCUAGGCUGGAUUGCAGUGGCAUGAUCAUGGCUCACUGCAGCCUUGACUUCCUGGGCUUGAGCGAUCCUACCUUCUCAAUCCACUCCCCCUCAAAGUAGCUGGGACUAUAGGUGUGUGCCACCAUGCCCCACUUAUUUCUGUAUUUUUAGCAGAGGCAGGGUUUUGCCAUGUUGCCCAGGCCAGUCUUGAACUCCUAGGCUCAAGUGAUCCUUCUGCCUUGGCCUCCCAAAGUGCUGGGAUUACGGGUGCGAGCCACCACGCCCGGCGGGUGUGUUCUGUCUUAUACUUAAAGGAAUUAAAAUUUUCCUCCUUCAGCGUCUGUCCUCGUGGUCCUUGUUCUGUGUGUUCUGUGAAAGCAGAGUUACAGGGUGGUUUGCUACCCGCUGCAUCCCACCACCUCAUACAAAGCUGGGAUGUAGCGAUGUUCAAUGGAUAUGCUGCCGGAAUGAUGGAUGAAGCAAUACUGAAUGUUAGCCAUGGUGCUGCCUUGCAGUCAUCUACUCUAGGCUAUACAGCACCAUCUCACAUAUGACAGACAGGGUUUCCAGAACAUUCCUCAUCCUUCCCACGCCUCUACCACAUGCAGGUUGCAGAGUUCUUUUGAGCAGUGGGCCCUCUGCAGUGAACUCAGUUUUCCAGGACUGUCCUGAAUGGCACAGAAGUGGAGUGGGGCAUGCCACCCCUCGGGGUGCACUCCAUGCUGCUGUCCGCACAACCUGCCCUGCGAGGGCUUAUUUCAGCAUCACGCCAUAGGUGCAUCUCUCUGAGCCCCAGGCUGGUCCUUGGUGCAGCAGAGAUGCAACUUUAACUUCCAGAGUUUUAGCAAAGCAUGGGGCUCCUUGCUUUGUAUGGCAAUGGUACCACACCUUGGAAGAGGGCAGCCCCAGGCCCUCCUAGGUGGAACCUGUUCAAGGGGCCAACAGUCUCGUUGUGGGGCAAGAAGAUGCCAGAGUGUGCCCCUUGCUUAGUUUCCUCAGUGAGCGAGACCUGGCAUUGGGGGUCUCCCAGUCCCCAAGCUGAGAGACCCAUAACCAGGUCAUCAGCAGUUGUCUGACUGUGGGUGGAGGAGCCCCUGGGCCCCAGGGCUUCCAGGCACUGUGGCUCAGCUUUGCCGGCCCAGAGAGCCACAUAGGCAUGAGGUAGUUGUGAACACACAGUUCUGGGUUAAUAAGUGUUUGCUGACUGACUCCCAAGGGCUAGGAGGUGGGGAACUGCCACAGGCUGGUGGCUGGCAGACUUCAUAUGGCACCUGGGACGCUGGGGGGUCCUGGUCCCCUCUGCCGUGAGGGGCCAGGUCAAACUCAUCCCUCU